Molecule: RNA transcript, 3406 nt
Organism: Manihot esculenta (cassava)
Lineage: Eukaryota; Viridiplantae; Streptophyta; Magnoliopsida; Malpighiales; Euphorbiaceae
Gene name: ETHYLENE INSENSITIVE 3-like 3 protein
Exons: 6
Source: RefSeq, a predicted model, not a curated record
AGAUUGAUUUUUUAUUUGUCUCUUAUCUGUUCCAUCAACAGCAAUUUCACUCACAAAUGGCCUAUUUCUGUGUGAAUUUACAAACUUUGUGCUGAUUCUUUUUUUUUUUCUUGAAUAUUCUCUUAAGAGUGGGUUAUUGAUGCAAGAUAGCGGCGGCUAUUGUGUAUAAUUUUUGUUUGCUUCGUUAUAAAUCCUGGUGGAGGGAAUUAUUCGUAUUAUUGUUAUUAUCUAAUUUGGGACCUUGAGAAAGAUGGAUUUUGAUUUAGUACAGAGAUGCUUUUAUUCAGCAGAAUGUAUGCAGUUAUUUGGUAUAGUGGAAAAUUUUACGAAAGGACAAGGGUUUAAAAUUUCAGUGUCGGAUUUAUGUUUGAUAAUCCUAAAAUAUUAGAUGAACACAACACUUCUCCACCUCCUUCUCCUCUAGAGUCGGACUAUUUCUUCUUGCUAACAAGGUGGACUAUCAUUAAUUGAAUGUUAGAGCCGUGUCUGAUGUUUGCUGUUUCAUUGGCUGACAGUUCGGAUAUUGAAGUCGACGAUCUCAGGUGUGACAACAUUGCAGAGAAGGAUGUUAGUGAUGAAGAAAUUGAAGCUGAAGAGUUGGAGAAGAGAAUGUGGAAGGAUCGAGUCAAGCUCAGAAGGAUUAAGGAAAAUCAAAAGUUUGCAGCCCAACAAGCUGCAGAGAAGCAAAAGCCCAAGCAGACCUCUGAUCAGGCACGAAGAAAGAAAAUGUCAAGAGCCCAAGAUGGAAUUCUCAAGUAUAUGUUGAAACUAAUGGAAGUGUGCAAAGCGCGUGGAUUUGUGUAUGGGAUCAUUCCUGAGAAGGGUAAGCCGGUCAGUGGUUCAUCUGAUAAUAUAAGAGCUUGGUGGAAAGAAAAGGUAAAGUUUGAUAAGAAUGGGCCAGCAGCCAUAGCAAAAUAUGAAGCAGAGUGUUUAGCCAUUGUGGAGGCAGAUAAAAAUCGAAAUGGAAACUCCCAAAGUGUUCUUCAAGACCUGCAAGAUGCAACUUUGGGAUCUCUUUUGUCUUCUUUAAUGCAGCACUGUGAUCCCCCUCAAAGGAAGUAUCCAUUGGAGAAAGGAGUUCCACCGCCUUGGUGGCCAACUGGGGAUGAAGAAUGGUGGGUAAAAUUAGGAUUACCACAAGGUCAGAGUCCUCCCUAUAAGAAACCCCAUGAUUUAAAGAAAAUGUGGAAAGUUGGGGUCUUAACUGCUGUAAUAAAACACAUGUCGCCUGAUAUUGCAAAAAUCCGGAGGCAUGUCCGCCAAUCAAAAUGCUUACAGGAUAAGAUGACAGCAAAGGAGAGUGCAAUUUGGUUGAGUGUCUUGAGUCGAGAGGAAUCCCUCAUUCAACAGCCAAGCAGUGAUAAUGGCACUUCUGGUAUAACUGAAAUGCCUCAAGGUGGACGUGGUGAAAAGAAGCGACCUGCUGUUAGUAGCGACAGUGAUUAUGAUGUUGAUGCUGUUGAUGAUGGUGUUGGUUCUGUUUCAUCCAAAGAUAACAGGAGAAAUGCAACAACGGAAGUGGAGGCACUAAGCAUUGUUCAAAAUGAGAAUCCUGAUGCUGUCCAAGAUAAGGAGCCAGCGGAAAAGCAACCAAAGAGAAAAAGGCCUCGUGGAAAAUCUAGCCAUGCUGAUCAACAGUCUGGACCACAUCUUAAUAAGCAUUCAUUUGCUGAGGAUGCUAGAAACACUGUGCCUGAUAUAAACACUGCUGAUUUAGCAGCAGUGGAAUGUCAGAUUAAUGGCAUUGAAGAGGAAAACGAUCCAUAUACUGUUUUGAGGCCUUCAGAGAAAGGCCUUGAAAGUGGAUCCAGUCUUCCGCCAUCCGAAUUUAACUACUUCCCUGCCGUUCCUUCUGCCAACGUUGAUCCUAUGGGGAGCAUGCAUGUGGAUGGAAGCUCCAUGUUUUUCUCUGUCUUACAAAAUACAGAGUUGCAUCAUGGAUCUGCUUAUGAUAUGUAUAAUCCAUCCAUUGACUUUGGGCCUACUCCCGAUGCACGGCAGUCUCAAAUUACAAUGGAUGCACCUCAGGUCAGAUCUCAAGAUGAUGGAGGCCAUGCAUCAGCUCUACAUAGGGAUGGAAAUGAGAUCAUUGGAGGAGAGUUGCAUCAGUUAGAUAAGGAUAGGCCUUUUGGGUCUCCGCCUCCACUACAUAGCUUGUCAUUAGAAUUCGGAGGAAUCCCUAGUCCAUAUAAUUUUGAAAUUGAAGAAUUCUUACUUGAUGAUGAGUUGAUCCAAUGCUUUGGUGCAUAGUUUUCAGAAUUGAUAUUUCAGAUUCAUAUUGGACUGCUGAAAAUGCAGCAGGUGGAUAUGCUGACAUUCAGUUUAUCUGCACAUGGGCAUUUCGAGACGAAGCCCUCCCCACAAAAGUCCUUUUCCUUCCCAUGACUCAUUAUUAGGGAAAUGAAGGCAGAUACCAUAAAAGAGGCCGAGGAGUAUUCAAUUCCAUUCAAGCCAACGCUCCGAUUCAGGCUAUUUCCAAAGCCGCCACUGUCCGUACGAGGAUGUCUGUCUCCAGGUGCCACCUGUGAACAACGGAAUGGUCCUUAUUCUCCUUAAGACGUACAGGGGCGAUUUCGAUAUUUACAAAGAAACGCGAUAUCAACUGGUCGUCAGCCGCAUCAGCAUCAGCAUCACCGUGCUGAUAAAAACAUCAUUCAAAGGGCUUCAUUUCGUGUUUCCAUGUUUUGCUUCUUUUCUCUCUUUUUCAAACGCUCUCUUUCCGUUUGGCUUGCAGCUCCCAGCGGCCGGGAUCAUAAAAUGGCGUGUGGAAAACCUAUAUCGAGCUUUUCAAUCUUCAUGACCAUUUUCAUGGUGGUUUUUGUAUCAGUUGUCCAUUCUUCUCGUACCCGGUUACAGGGUGGAGUACCAGCAGAUGAUAAAGCUAUACCUACACAGGUACUGAAAGAAAGACUACAGCUUUUAGCCAUAAUAAAAAUAAGCACAAGAUCGAAAAGAAAAAGACACACAUUUUUGCGUCCCUUUUUUUUAUAGAAUCACUCUUGAAUGGGAUCUUGAGAGCCAUCUAGUUAAGAGUCUGGUGAAGGGAGCUUCAAGUGUAGUUGCGGAGGACUCGGCGAGGGAAGUGCCAACAGGACCAGAUCCUCUUCACCACAACAACCACCCCACGAAGCCAUGAGCUCUGUGGAAAAAAAAAUCCUGUUUUGAUGGGUCUUUGCACUUAUUAGCAGUGGAUUUCACAUCAGUUUUAUCUCUUUUUGCCUCUUCUGCUACAUUGACACUCACUGUGUAUAGUUAACACAUAGGUUGAUGGUAGCUGUCAAUGUGGUUGAUCUCUCUCUUUUUUUAGUUUCCUUUGUCUUUGGAAAGAGCCAUACUAUUAAAUGAGUUUAAUUAUUUUGUGUUGAUAUCGGUUAACCACAUGAAUUUUUCAUCUUAUACACGUCCA